This 254-nucleotide ribosomal RNA is filed under the name uncultured Ruminococcus sp. Its description in RNAcentral is "partial 16S ribosomal RNA". It matches the Rfam family "Bacterial small subunit ribosomal RNA", at positions 85 to 339 of the family's 1533-position model. Lineage: Bacteria; Bacillati; Bacillota; Clostridia; Eubacteriales; Oscillospiraceae. The record is from RNAcentral.
AUUAUUCUUAGUGGCGGACGGGUGAGUAACACGUGAGCAACCUGCCUCUAAGAGAGGGAUAGCUUCUGGAAACGGAUGGUAAUACCUCAUAACAUAAUCAUACCGCAUGGUGAGAUUAUCAAAGAUUUAUCACUUAGAGAUGGGCUCGCGUCUGAUUAGCUAGAUGGUGAGGUAACGGCCCACCAUGGCGACGAUCAGUAGCCGGACUGAGAGGUUGAACGGCCACAUUGGGACUGAGACACGGCCCAGACUCC